This 74-nucleotide transfer RNA is filed under the name Planctomycetaceae bacterium. Its description in RNAcentral is "tRNA-Arg". It matches the Rfam family "tRNA". From Rfam's summary of the family: Transfer RNA (tRNA) molecules are approximately 80 nucleotides in length. Their secondary structure includes four short double-helical elements and three loops (D, anti-codon, and T loops). RNAcentral also lists the same sequence under 1 other name. Lineage: Bacteria; Pseudomonadati; Planctomycetota; Planctomycetia; Planctomycetales; Planctomycetaceae. The record is from RNAcentral.
GCGCCCGUAGCUCAACUGGAUAGAGCACCCGCCUUCUAAGCGGGAUGUUUCGGGUUCGAGUCCCGACGGGCGUA